This 406-nucleotide ribosomal RNA is filed under the name uncultured bacterium. RNAcentral's name for it is "partial 16S ribosomal RNA". It matches the Rfam family "Bacterial small subunit ribosomal RNA", at positions 29 to 526 of the family's 1533-position model. The record is from RNAcentral.
AUUGAACGCUGGCGGCAGGCUUAACACAUGCAAGUCGAACGAGUGGCGGACGGGUGAGUAAUGCUUGGGAAUAUAGCUUCUGGAGGGGGAUAACUACGGGAAACUGUAGCUAAUACCGCGUACCAUAGGAUGAGCCCAAGUGGGAUUAGGUAGUUGGUGAGGUAAAGGCUCACCAAGCCGACGAUCUCUAGCUGGUCUGAGAGGAUGACCAGCCACACUGGGACUGAGAUACGGCCCAGAAUCAUACGGGAGGCAGCAGUGGGGGAGAUGGCACAAUGGGCGAAAGCCUGAUGCAGCGACGCCGCGUGGGGGAUGAAGGCUUUCGGGGUGAAAACCUCUUGCGCUAUCGAACGGGUAGGUGGAGAAGAAGCGCCGGCUAACUACGUGCCAGCAGCCGCGGUAAUAC